AAAGGGCAGCGAGCUAAAAAUCACCUAGGUAACAACCGAACUAGACCAAUUUAGCCAAUGUGCUCGAGUUUCGUCAGACACGAGGAAACAGCGCCCCCUGUGUAGUAACGGCUGGCUAACGACCUCUGACCUGUGUGGUCGAAAAAGGAAGUUGGACCUUUGCGUGGAAUGUGUAGCCUGUCGCGCUCCGACCACUUCACAAACAGAAAACAGCGACGGAGAGAGGAGAGGAGGACUUCUGCCAACAAACAAUUACUGACCAGGCAGCAGGUGUGGCUGAACGUUACAAAUGACGGACACUUCAUCUCCAUGGGAGAACGGACAGAAGACUUCAACGACAAAUCCUUGUUGGUAGAGUGACUAGCAGCGAUGGAGAGAGAGGAGGACUUCUGCCAACAAACAAUUACUGACCAGGCAGCAGGUGUGGCUGGACGUUACAAAUGACGGACACUUCAUCUCCAUGGGAGAAAGGAGAGAAGACUUCAAUGACAAAUCGACGGAGAGAGGAGAGGAGGACUUCUGCCAACAAACAAUUACUGACCAGGCAGCAGGUGUGGCUGAACGUUACAAAUGACGGACACUUCAUCUCCAUGGGAGAACGGACAGAAGACUUCAACGACAAAUCCUUGUUGGUAGAGUGACUAGCAGCGAUGGAGAGAGGAGAGGAGGGGGAAAAGGGCAGCGAGCUAAAAAUCACCUAGGUAACAACCGAACUAGCCCAAUUUAGCCAAUGUGCUCGAGUUUCGUCAGACACGGGGAAACAGCGCCCCCUGUGUAGUAACGGCUGGCUAACCACCUCUGACCUGUGUGGUCGAAAAAGGAAGUUGGACCUUUGCGUGGAAUGUGUAGCCUGUCGCGCUCCGACCACUUCACAAACAGACAACAGCGACGGAGAGAGGAGAGGAGGACUUCUGCCAACAAACAAUUACUGACCAGGCAGCAGGUGUGGCUGAACGUUACAAAUGACGGACACUUCAUCUCCAUGGGAGAACGGACAGAAGACUUCAACGACAAAUGAUUCCACAGGACAACUCCAAACCAGAGACAGAAGACCAUCUGAUCAAAACAUACACAGAUGUGAUGUACAAGAUGAGAUUGUGGUGGAGUGUCCUUGUCUUUCAGACAAUUAGCUGUCUUGUGAAGGCCGGGGGAGGACCAACCCCCCUCCCGACCCUCCAGGGCGGGUCACACUCACCCACACUAGAGGUCUUCACUCUUGCUCCCGGCAACGGGACGCGAACCCGACCCGACCAGCAGGUACGAGCUCUAACGCCGCCGGUCGACGCUUAUCCCGUUACACUACGGAGACAAGAGCGCUUGGAAAGGCGUCCACAAAGCAUCUUACUGUGCUUCCUUGAGGUUCACUACCAUCUGUAAACCUCUGACUCACCUUUGUGCUCCUGGAGGCUCUGUCACAGGUGCAGAAGAGGUGCCGCCUGCUGCUCCUGCAGAAACAGAACAGACAGACAGAAUCACUUUUUUCUCAACAGCAGUCUAACUGAGACUCCACCUACUGAAAUCAACACUGUAAAGCCAGUGCAUGUGAUGGGAAACUGGUCAAGUGUACAGGUUGUCAAUUACCUGGAGGCCUGUGUCCUGGUCUCAAAGAACUUCUUCAUGGUGUGAAGACUCUGUGAUCGUGGACAAAGUGGAGACACCUGGAGGGAAAUCAAGGAGAAACACACAAAGGAAAAUGAUCAAUAGACUACUACCUACUCAUCAUCAACAGUUAAAUCAUGAAAACACUGAAAAAUAUUUAACAUUACAGCUGAAACAAAACAUUUUUAUGCCUUCCUAUACUAUGACAUUUGGCUUAAGACAAAGGAACUAUCUUAAAGCAGCCAUUUUAACAUUGUUUUCCACAGGUUCUCACGCAUACCUCUACACAGUGUUUGUGGGUUAAGUUAGAUUUUGUGUUCAGGUUCAGACAGGUGGAAGGAAGCAGAAAAAGGAGAGCACGAGAAGAAAAACGUGUGGAUGCUAAAGGCAGGGUCAGAGUUCAGUUGCUCCUGCAGAAGUCAUAAGGUAGGGUUGUUGAUUGACUCACUGCAGGUUUUUAACUAAAGAUGUGAUGCUAUGGGACCAUCUCUGUCUCUGCUGGGCUCAGACACUAAGAGCAAUUAACUGGAGAUCAUGUGCCUGCCAUCCACUUCUUUCUCCUCUGUGCUCCUGCUUUCCAGCUAGAGAAUAGAUUUUAAAAAUGUAGAAAUGACAGAACUCACCUCAUCCUGGACUGAUGGAGACAAAACUCCUCAACCUGCCUGUCCUCUGCUUUCUCCCAUGGACACAUGGACGCCUGGUUAAAAGAGACAAGGUAUGUUGCUGCUGCUUGGAAAACAGGGAGGGCCUUUUGAGGCAUGAAGGUGUGUGUCUGCGAGUGUUAGACAGGUGGUCUUGUAUCACUGGCUUAUGAUCAGUUGCAUUUCAGGUAAAUUCAUGUUCAUCAGUACUCAAAUCCAAUCUAUUACUAUGUACAUAGUCCUUUUAUAUAUAUUGUUAUGUUUUAUGCCAUUUCAUAUUUUUGCUGCUGCACUGAAUUUCCCUGUUGUGGGACUAACAAAGGAUUAUCUGACUCUUCCUCAAAUAAAUACUUUUGAACACUGAA
Lates calcarifer (barramundi perch) is the source of this 2605-nucleotide long non-coding RNA. RefSeq lists it as uncharacterized. The transcript is spliced from 12 exons. NCBI's taxonomy places the organism in Eukaryota, Metazoa, Chordata, Actinopteri, Centropomidae. The record is from RefSeq and is a predicted model, not a curated record.